GGAUCGAUGAUGACAGCAAGUCUCUGAGGAUGGUGAUCGACUCGUAACUAUGCCAAUUUGAGUUCC
Mesocricetus auratus (golden hamster) is the source of this 66-nucleotide non-coding RNA. Lineage: Eukaryota; Metazoa; Chordata; Mammalia; Rodentia; Cricetidae. The record is from Rfam.